CCUAAUGUCGUUUCCAGUCAGCUCAGGCUGUCAAAAUUUUUGAGAGCAAGACUGCUUUAGUGUUCUUUCUGGAAAAAAAAAGUUUAAAACAUUUCAGAAUUUCAUAGAAAAAAAGAAGCUCAAAUGGUGCCUGAAUGUGUAAAUGCUAUAGAACAGGGGUCAGCGAACUUUUCUGGAAAAGCCUGGAUAGUCACUAUCUUAGACUUUGCAGACCACAGGGUCUGUCACCACUUCGCAACUCUAUGCAGUAGUAGCGCAAAAGCGGCCACAGAGAAUACGUAAACAAAUGAACCUGGCUGUGUUCUAAUAAAGCUUUUAUUUAUGGGCCUUGACAUUUGAAUUUCAUGUACUUAUCAUGUGUCGCAAAAUAUCCUUUUAAUUUUUUCAACCCUUAGAAACAAUGUUAAGACAUUCUUAGCUUGUGGGCUUCACAAACACAGGAGGUGGGCAGGAUUGAGCCCACAGGCUGUUGUGUACCAACCCCGGCUUUAGAAGACUAAAGUUGACGAGAUGAACUUCUUGUACCAGAGGGAUGCUUGGUUAAUAAGAUGUUUGUACAGCAAUCAAAAAUCAAUGUCAUGCAAAAUCAUGCUUUAGCUAUUUACUCUUAAUUAAAAUGCUUUAGCCAAUUAAUAGUCUAACACUCCUAUAACUAUCAAACUCUGUGGAAAAGAAUACUCUAGCUUGUGAUUCAUGGAGAGACCGCGUUUCCAUUUGCAUACUCUUCAUCACUCUAAGAUAGUGACGAGGAGUGGAACCAAGAGGACCUGGAUUCCGACACCUAACACGUAUCACUCCUUUUCAACUAAGGUACGUUGGGCAAGUUCCUCAACCUCUCAGAGCCUUAGUUUUCCUAGCUUGUCAAAUGCAGCUAUGAAUACCUACUUCCUAAGGACGUUGAGAAGAUUGGAUGAAAUAAUUCAAGUAAAGUGCUUAGCACAGUGUCAGGCACAUGGGACUCUAACAUAUCUCUCCCUGUGCCCUUAAAUUCUUUUUCUGAGAUAAUGUAACUCAAGAGCAGGUGAACAUGUGGAGUGCCAAUAUCUUGUCAGUGUAGAUGGUGCAUCUGAGGACCAUCAGAGUGAUUCAAGGUUGUGGGGUUGAGAUUGUGAUAUAUUUUGAUGGGUCUCUCUCACGCUCUAAGCGUGCCUGUCAUGGGACCCUCGGUCGACACACACUAGCUGUGUGGCCUUAGACAAACACUUCGGUCUUCUGAACCCUGGUGUCUCAUACGUAAAAUAAAGAUAAUACCUUGCAGGGUUUUGGAAAGGGCUAAACAGCAUAAAUGCUAGAGGAAAAAAAGGAAAAGAUAAAAUUAACGUAAGUUAGUGAAAAUCUGAGAAAUAAGCUGAAAAUUGAAAGUGUACCAUCAGAAGCUCCUUUGAGGUAAAUCAUUUAGCUUUCAGACAUGAAUGACAUUUUAACAGCAGGUGCACAAUAACUUAGAAUUCACUCUCCUACCACCUAGUUGACCCCCACUCCAGACCAUUUAAUGGCCAUCAAAAUCCUGUAGAGCAAGGGUAAAACUCAAAUUUUGAAUGUGAUUAAAUAUUGGAGUACAGUUUUUAAUUCUUAUAAAAGUAGUCAGAUCUAUCAUUGUUUUCCUAUAUAUUUCUGCCUUCUGUCCCAGGCUUCAAGAGGUCAUCCAAAGUCCAAGAUUAGAAAAAUACCUACACUUUUCUUCUGGUCAGCUUAAGAACAUCUGAACUCUGGAAACCUGAGCACCCUCCUUCUUCACUGAGGCAAGAGGUAACUACGGCAGGUCAUCGAGGCUUCUUUUCUACUUCUUACUGGGCUGGAAUAAGUGCAAACCCGGUUUGUACCAACGGUGUGCUUAAAUAAGUAGAGGAGACAUAUCAAUGUGAUUUUUAAAGAAUUGUGACAGAAAAUCCCCAGUGACUAGCAGAAGUUGAAUAUACAUUCCUUCUCCCCACUGUCUCGAUGGUUUCUGAUCUCUUAAAAAUCUUCACUUGAACUGUCUUGUAUGUGUGUUUAUGGCAAGCUGAAAUCGUAAUUGGAAAUGAGUCAGGGAUAACUGGUAAAUAAAUAAAUAUUGGUGGGCAAGCAGUCGACUCUCUGGAGAAUACCUUCAAUUUCAUUACUUUGCCAAUCUCCAAGGUCAGUUUAAUCAUAAGCAACUUCAGGUGUGUGUGGGUUUAAUAGAAUUAACUAGAACAGGGCUCCCCAACCUUGGCACUGUUGACGCGUUGGGCCAGAUAAUUUUUGUUGGGGUGGAGGGGGGCGUUGUAGGAUGUUUAGCAGCCUCUCUGGCUUCUACGCACUAGAUACCAGUGGCACCUCCCCACAGUUGUGACAACCAAAAAUCUCUCCGGGCGUUGCCAAAUGUCCCCUGUGUGUGUGUAUGGGGCAGCGGGGAGGAGGGCAGAAUCGCAGCGAGGGCAGUGGGGCAGCAGCUAGAACCACUGAACUAGAC
This 2434-nucleotide long non-coding RNA is filed under the name Equus caballus (horse). RNAcentral's name for it is "lncRNA (ENSECAG00000058712.1)". The record is from RNAcentral. Lineage: Eukaryota; Metazoa; Chordata; Mammalia; Perissodactyla; Equidae.